This 203-nucleotide long non-coding RNA is filed under the name Lathyrus oleraceus (garden pea). RNAcentral's name for it is "Pisum sativum (pea) long non-coding RNA (PSAT_LNC004977)". The record is from RNAcentral. Lineage: Eukaryota; Viridiplantae; Streptophyta; Magnoliopsida; Fabales; Fabaceae.
UCACCUACGCCUAGGGGGCUUACAACCAAAGAAAUGAAAUCAACUCUCAAUAGUAUUAGUAUAAUUAUUCUUAGAUGAACAAGCCUUGUUCAAUGUCUACUUCCUAAUACUACCUGUGUCUUUUUAUUUAGGAUUCUCCCUAAAUAUAAAAACCCUUCUCACUUUCUCUCAACCACUACCCUAGUGAUCAAUGCGAAUUUUUG